GUAGGGAUGUCAUGCCUCCAAUACUAUCCUUCAACUCAAUCAAAGACAUACGAAUGCCUAAAAAAUGGCGUAGCUUUCUAAGCAUGCAAAUCUCCUUUGGCAUAUUACGAUUUUCAGUCAUUCUAUGUCUUAAAUCCAAAGUCUCUAGGUUCACGAGCAUGCCAAUGGAUUUUGGAAUUCCAAAAUCUCUUCCUCCAAUCAUCAGGAACUCAAAAUAUUUCAAGUGGUUCAAACUUCCCUAAUCAUUAGGAAUUUCAGGUAAAUACUCAUGCAUCAAAGCAAGCACCUUCAACCGCCUAUAUUUUGUAGGGAUUGUCUUUACAAAGGAUUUAAGUGAUGUAUUUGGUGUGAAAACAAGCAGUGAUCGAACAUGUGAGUUUUCAAUACUUUUCAUUAAAUUAUCAGUAGUUGCUAUUGAUAGGCGUCAAAUCAUUCCAGUUAAAGACAAUUGCUUGUCCUCAAUAAUAUUCUUGCAAAAACUUAAAUCCUCAUAUUUCUCAAGGAUCAUUGCAUGCACUAGAUCAUGUACACGACAACUUUUUACUCUUCCAUAUACUUGUUGAAACUACUUGCACCAAACUUCUACGGACCAACUCUAUUAAAUAUCCUUCUCCAACCUCUUCCAAUGUUCUUCCCUUGACUUCUUUCACAAACCCUUCAGCGAUCCAUUGGCGAGUCAACACCUUUGAACGAACUAUAUAGUCUUCAGGAUAGAAUCCAAAAUACAAGAAACAUGACUUGAGGUUGUAAGGUAAAUCAUGGUAACUAAAUCCUAAAUUUUUUCUUAUUGUGGAAUAUUCCUCUAACUCUACAUUUAUAUUUUCACUAAACUUAGACCAUUCAAUUGGAUUUCUAACUUUGCGAGAUAAAAUAUCACCGGUGACUACAAUUGCUAGAGGUAAUCCUUUGCAUUUUUCAACAAUUUUGGAAGAUAUGUCAAAAAGAUUUUCUGGACAAAAUCCAUCCAAGUCAUGGAACGCUUUCUUUUUAAACAAUUCCAAAGACUGUUCUUCAGAUAAACGUUCCAGCUCAUGCACUUUGCCAAAAGAUUUCUUACAAGCAUCUGCAACAUCCUUGUUUCUUGUUGUGAUUAAUAUCUUACAACCAUUUUUGUUAUCAAUCAUAGCAAAUUCAAUAUCAUACCAAAAUUGUGCCUCCCAUACAUCAUCAAACACUACAAACGUACCUUUUUCCUUGCAAGUAGUUUCUCACUUCAUCAACUAAUGGCUUUCGAUCCAUUUGAUGGAGACUUUGAGGAGGAUCUUUCCCUUGUUGUUUGUAAAUCUCGAGCAAAAUGUCCCUCAACAAUGUUUCUAUAUUGUAUGGUCGAGACACCGUGAUCCAUUCAUGACAAUCAAAGUGUUUAACGACCUUUCGGUUGUCAAAAAUUUUCUUGGCAAGAGUGGUUUUCCCCAGUCCUCCCAUUCCAACAAUAGAGACAACUGUGCGUUCUGCUCUUCCCUCUAUCAGCCAAUCAAUCAAUUUGUCUCGUGGCUCGUCAAAGCCCACAACAUCAGCUUCAUCCAAAUACAAUGGAGCAUCUCGAAGGUUCUGGAAUAAUGAGGUGUUUCUGUUUGUUGCAGAACUACUUGAUGGUUUAUCCGAAGAAGCAGAACUACUUGAUGGUUUAUCCGAAGAAGAUUGGAUGUGGAAGCCAUGAUCUUUUUCACUUGUUUCUUUUAUUUCUCUAAUUUGGGAUUUGAUGUUCUGAAUCUUGUAAGCAAUUUGGAGACGAAGAAUCUUAGUUUUCACCAAGUCAACGGCUCCAGCAGCACAUCCAGGAUCAGGAGCAUGUUGUUCCUCAUGGAAGAUAUAAUCAUCAAUGACAUCUUCCAUGUGGAAAGAUGCUUCUAUCAGCUGCUUGAUCAUGUCUUUGAUUUUCUUGUCUUCUACAUCAUCAGCCCUUCUAUCCGCAUCGUUGAUGAAGACUUCAAUUCUUUCAAGUUCAUCUUUCAAUUCUGCAAUUUCUUUUGGGACACCCCUAAUCAUGUUGAAUGCUUCCUUCAAGAGUGGAAGCAAGUGAUCACGGGCUAGUGGAAGCAAAUGAUGAUGAUUGAAGUUGGUGUGUCCUUUAUGAUAAAUUUCUGGGUCUGUAAUGUUUGGGGAAGUUUCUUAUACUUCCCAGUACAAUUUCUACCUAUUUGAUACUUAUGGUGAGUAGUACUUGAUACAAUUUUAAAUCCAAUCACUGCUAGAAAAUAUUUUAUGAGUGUUGUUGCUUUAAUUUGUAUUGUUAACUACUUUUAAAUUGUUUGUUAAAAUUAUUUUAAAUUCCAUUAAUUGUUAAAACAAUUUUUAUAAAAAGAAAUAAAAAACAAUUUAAAAACGUUUAAUUAAUUAAUUAAUUUUCGAAAAAUAAAAUUUAAAUUCUUUUUUACAAUUAUUUUAAUUAUUAAAUUUUAAUAUUUUGAUUUAUUUUAACAAAUAAAAAAUGUUUUUAAAAGAAAAAUCGUACACAAUUUGACAGGGGUUAACCCCUCGCACAGUCCCUGGCAUAUGAUGCUGACACAAUCUGCAAAAGUCUCGUCAAAUCUGCAAAAGUCUGUGUUGACUAGAAUGCGUCAGAAAAGCCUGCAAUCAUGCAGAUACACUUUGCCAGGGGUUCAGCCAGGGCCUACGCCAGGAGCGAAUUUGCCAGGAGCUAAAGCCCUGGCAGAGUCAUUUGCGACAAGCAGAUUUGCUGGUGAUUCAGCUCCUGGCAAAACCCCUGACAAACAUCCAUUUGCCACGGCUUUUGGCAUUUUGCUAGGGCUUCUGCCCCUGGCAAAAUGCAACAUUUCUUGUAGUGUUUAACGAUCUUUCGGUUGUCAAAAACUUUCUUGGCUAGAGUGGUUUUCCCCAGUCCUCCCAUUCCAAUAAUGGAGACAACUGUGCGAUCUGCUCUUCCCUCUACCAGCCAAUUAAUUAGUUUCUCUAUUGGCUCUUCAAAUCCCACAACAUCAGCUUCAUCCAUAUAAAAUGGAGCGUCUCGAAGGUUCUGCAAUAAUGAGGCAUUUCUGUUUGUUGCAGAACUACUUGAUGGUUUAUCCGAAGAAGAUUGGAUGUGGAAGCCAUGAUCUUUUUCACUUGUUUCUUUUAUUUCUCUAAUUCUGGAUUUGAUGUUCUGAAUCUUGUCAGCAAUUUGGAGACGAAGAAUCUUAGUUUUCACCAAGUCAAUAGCUCCAGUAGCACAUCCAGGAUCAGAAGAUUGUUGUUCCUCAAGAAAGAUAUAAUCAUCAAUGACAUCUUCAAUGUGAAAAGAUGCUUCUAUCAGCUGCUUGAUCAUGUCUUUGAUUUUCUUGUCUUCUACAUCAUCAGCUGUUCUAUCCACAUCGUUGAUGAAGACUUCAAUUCUUUCAAGUUCAUCUUUCAAUUCUUCAAUUUCUUUUGGGACACCCCUAAUCAUGUUGAAUGCUUCCUUCAAGAGUGGAAGCAAGUGAUCACGGGCUAGUGGAAGCAAAUGAUCACAAGCGCAGGAAAAUGCAGCGUCACACAUUUUAUCACACAUUUUGUUGUAUCUUUGAUUUUAAUUUGCUACUAGCAUUGUGAGUGAGAUGAAUGAUGAAGAAAGCUAUUAGUCCUUUCAUGAUUUAUAUCGCAUAAAGUCCUUUCAUUGUUCAAAUAAUAAUAACAAUGAAUAGUUUUUUAAAUGGCAAAGUUAUCAUAUAUAGAAAAGAGUAGAAAGAGUACUCUAACUCAAUACAAACAACACCCAAACCUCUGGAGGAAGAAAGGCCAGUAGAAGAAGCAAAGUUCACACAACAUAUUAAUUUCUUACAAUCAUUUCAAAGGAAAUAUCUCACAACAUAUAUUAUACAUCAUUAUUAAACAACUCAAUUUUCUUGAAUAAACUGACAAAUAACUAUACAUAACACUUUUUUUAAAUUGAGGAAGGGAAGUUCCAAAUCAAGAACAGAAAGAAGCAAUGCUGAUCUAGAAGUUCACUUGAAGAAAUGUGAAUCUCAAAUCCACUGAUGGCCAUCACCUGCAGUUCACACCAAAUUAUUAAUAUAAAACACAAUAAUGCAAUGAUUAGACAAUUGAAUGUAGGCAUGGAAUGGUAACCCUUAAGAUUUAGAUCAAAGCCCAAAAGUGAGUCAUAUGUAAAAUUAGAAUAAAUAAAUAAAAAAGUUAUUCAUAAGAAAAGUAACAGAGGCAAAAGUCAAGAAUUUGUUCGUUUUUUUUUUUACAAGAUGUCGAGAAAUUAUUUUACUAAAAAUCACAUAAUGUUUGUAUUUUGAUGACUCAACAAUAAAUAUUACUACAAAUAUUUUUUUCUUCAAAUUGUAGGGAAGCGAAUGCGUACCUUCAAAAUAUUAUUUCUACAAAGGGCACUUGCUUGAAUAUCCAAUGCUCUUUUCCUUCAUUAGGAGCAAUGCUCUGUUUAAGUUCAUAACUCAUCAAAUGAAGACAGAGAACUUCAAGCUUGUGUAAGUGUUGAAUGCCAGUUGGUAACAUCAUCAGUUCGGGGAUGGCUUUCAAAGUGAGCUUUCUCAGAGAACCCAAUGCACCUUCGUCAAUAAGGAUGUGACUCAACUUAAAGAAAUCAAAAAUAGCCAGGUUCUUCAAAUUCAUAAACCAUCCAUCUUCAAAAUGUAACCUCUCCAAUGUGUUUUCAACACUAAAAUCACCGGAGAUUUCAAGGGACAACAAGUUUGGCAUACUUUUGAGUAAUUUCAUUGCAUCAUUCCCUUCCUUCGUAAUCGUCACCUUCAACUUAACGAGAUAUUGGAGUUUUGAAAUCCACUCAGGCAAUUUCAAUAAAUACCCUAUAAGUUUAACACGUUGAAGCUUUGGUGGGGGUGAAUUCAAAUCCAUAUCAAUGAAUGUGUUAUAUCUGAUUCCUCUAAUAUUUAGUUUCUCCAAUUGUUGCAUCUUGUUGAUUGAGGAAGAUAUAGCACUCAUAUAUUUACUCCUAACACCGACCAAGCUUAAUUCCCUAAGCUGCUUUAGCUUUCCUAGCUCUUCUAUUAACUCUACCACUCUAUUAUCAUCUUCAUCUUCAUCAUCGUCUAAAUAAACCUCAUUUAGAGUUUGUAGGGAUGUCAUGCCUCCAAUACCAUCCUUCAACUGAAUCAGAGACAUUUGAUAGCCUAUAAAAUGGCGUAGCUUUUUAAGCUUGCAAAUCUCCUUGGGCAUAUUACAAUAUUCAAAGCCUACAUCUCUUAAAUUCAUUUGAUUCAGCACAGUACGAUUUUGAAUAUUUGGAGAUUUUAAAUCCAAAGUCUCUAGGUUCACGAGCAUGCCAAUGGAUUUUGGAAGUCUAGAACUUCUAAUUUUAAUCACCGCGGAUGCAAAAUAUUUCAAGUGGUUCAAGCUACCAAAAUCAUUAGGAAUAUUAAGCAAUUCCAUAUGAAUCAAAGCAAGCACCUUCAACCGCCUAUAUGCUCUAGGGAUUCUACUCACAAAGGAUUCAACUGAUGUUUGAGGUUCGAGAAUAAGCAAUGAUCGAAUACUUGAGCUUUCAAUAUCUUCCCUUAGAUUAUCAGAAUUGGAUGCUAUUGAUAGACGUCGAAUCAUUCCAGCAGACCAAUUUUUGCCCUUAAAAAUAUUCUUGCAAAAACUUAAAUCCUUAAAUUUGUCAAGGAUCAUUUCAUGCACUAGAUCAUGAACGCGGCAACUUUUUACUCUUCCAUCAAUACUAGUUGAAACUAC
RNAcentral lists this long non-coding RNA (5634 nucleotides) under Medicago truncatula (barrel medic). RNAcentral describes it as "long non-coding RNA (MTRU_LNC000660)". Lineage: Eukaryota; Viridiplantae; Streptophyta; Magnoliopsida; Fabales; Fabaceae. The record is from RNAcentral.